This 345-nucleotide long non-coding RNA is filed under the name Chinchilla lanigera (long-tailed chinchilla). Its description in RNAcentral is "lncRNA (ENSCLAG00000029296.1)". Lineage: Eukaryota; Metazoa; Chordata; Mammalia; Rodentia; Chinchillidae. The record is from RNAcentral.
AGCCAACUGGCUCCUCUCCUGCCCAAGGUGCUGGUGGAAGAUGGAGCCUCCCAUGGCUUUUGCAACCACUGAGACCAAGGGCCGGGACACCCACUAUUGCACCCACAGCGGCUGCUGUCCACCCGGCAUCCUUUGGAGCAAGAGGGGUCUGGCCUCUGCACCGCAGCUGCUGGCCACCAUGGUCCGGAGACAUCUGUAGGGGAGGGGUGAAAGCUCUUUAAAGACAGGACCUAUGGAGGCCUUGGAAGUGCUGGGUCUUCUUCCAAGGAGGAGAAAUUCCCUGAGUUGAACUGAAUGGCAUCUGUGUAUUCACAAGAAUAAAUAAAAGAAGCAGUGAACGGACAC